ACUGAAUAGAUACCCUGGUAGUCCAUGCUGUAAACGAUGAGAACUAGAUGUUAGGGGCAUGACCUCUUAGUAUCGAAGCUAACGCGAUAAGUUCUCCGCCUGGGGAGUACGGCCGCAAGGUUAAAACUCAAAGAGAUUGACGGGGGCCCGCACAAGCGGUGGAGCAUGUGGUUUAAUUCGAUGCAACGCGAAGAACCUUACCUACCUUUGAAUCCACGGAACCUAGCAGAGAUGUUGGGGUGCCUUCGGGAGCCGUGAGACAGGUGCUGCAUGGCUGUCGUCAGCUCGUGUCGUGAGAUGUUGGGUUAAGUCCCGUAACGAGCGCAACCCUUGUCCUUAGUUGCCAUCAGGUUAUGCUGGGCACUUUAAGGAGACUGCCGGUGAUAAACCGGAGGAAGGUGGGGAUGACGUCAAGUCCUCAUGGCCCUUACAGGUAGGGCUACACACGUGCUACAAUGGGCAGUACAGAGGGAAGCCAACCCGCGAGGGGAGCGAAUCUCAUAAAGCUGUUCGUAGUCCGGAUUGGAGUCUGC
RNAcentral lists this ribosomal RNA (533 nucleotides) under uncultured bacterium. RNAcentral's name for it is "bacterial SSU rRNA". It matches the Rfam family "Bacterial small subunit ribosomal RNA", at positions 772 to 1308 of the family's 1533-position model. The record is from RNAcentral.